UAACUCAUCUUGGCAAAGAUAUAGCGUCAUGUAUCGCGUUUCUUUCGCGCUUUCUCUUUGUUGAUGUAUGAUAUAUUGAAUAGUUUGUGAUAUAUAAGGUUUUAUUAUUACUAUUUUUCUAAUAAAUGAUCUUUAUCUUGAAGGCACUAUUCAAUUUUUUCCACCAGAAUUGAGGAUAGAACCUAAAUUACCCCUAUUAUACGUCAGUAGGUGAGGAAACGUGGUUGGGAGAUGGUUGGAGUGGAAUAAAAAGUGAGAAUAAAAGAGAAAGGGCUUCAAGGAUUGCAUCGAGCAGAAUGAAACUGCGAGCGACAGAUUGUGAGAACUGCCAAUAUGUCAUUCGAAUGUCAAUAAGUCGAGGGAAGACCGAGAUUUUAACCAUUUGAAUUGUUGUAAUUUUUAGAAAUUUUGCUAUUAAAUUUUGAAUGAAAGUUUUUUAAAAUUGAUCAAUUAAUUUAACAUCUGUAUUUUUUUUUUUUUUGUAAAAUCAUGUUUUCAUAAAAACAUCUAUUAUUUUUGCAAAUUUGUUGGAUCAUAAAGUUAAUAUUACUUAACUUGCAAAAAAAGGAUUGAAAUCGCCAUGUUAUAUCUUCGCAUUCAAUUCAAUAUAAAAUAUAAAAUUAUACAAUUGGAUAUUCAUGUAUUUAUCAUAUAUCUAUCAUUGUAAAUGUAAAGAUUUUUCAAAUGGAAACGAAUAUUUAGAUUGAACUCUGCUUUUUUUUGAAAUGUGUUACGAUUGAACAAUUUAGAAAAUAACAAUAAAUAUUCAAUCGAAUAUCGAAAAGAAAACGUUUAUGUUAAAAGCAUUGUGCUAAAAUCUAAAAUACGACAAAAUCUUGAGUAAACUGAAAAAGAUGUCUUAUCUUUCGCAACUUUCGAAGAGGAUCAAAAUGAACAGAAACAUGGUUCUCUACUAAAAUGAUUGAUGAUCAAAUGGGGGAAGAAAAGAAGCAACUUGAUUUUAUAUCAUUUACAAAAAAGUUUUGUGAAGUUCAAAAGAAAUUUCAGACAUUAAAAAAUUUAUCG
Apis cerana (Asiatic honeybee) is the source of this 1026-nucleotide long non-coding RNA. RefSeq lists it as uncharacterized. The record is from RefSeq and is a predicted model, not a curated record. NCBI's taxonomy places the organism in Eukaryota, Metazoa, Arthropoda, Insecta, Hymenoptera, Apidae.